Molecule: ribosomal RNA, 536 nt
Filed under: Bougainvillia sp. JRH-2014
Lineage: Eukaryota; Metazoa; Cnidaria; Hydrozoa; Anthoathecata; Bougainvilliidae
Description: partial 16S ribosomal RNA
Rfam family: Bacterial large subunit ribosomal RNA
Source: RNAcentral
UGACUGUUUUCCAAAAACAUAGCCCUUGGAAUAAUCAAAGGUGUGACCUGCCCAAUGGCUCUAAAACAAAGAAAGGUAAUAUCUUUCUAAUAAAGCUUAAAGGACGCAGUAUCUUGACUGUGGUAAUGUAGCAUAAUCACUCGCCACUUAAUUGGUGGAUAGUAUGAAUGGUUAAACGAAUAUUACACUGUCUUUUAGAGAAAACUUAUGAAAUUAAAAUAAUAGUAAAGAUGCUAUUUAAAACUGUAAGACGAAAAGACCCUAUAGAGCUUAACUAUAAUAUGUGUUAAAUAAAAAUAAAUAAAAAGUUUAGAUAAUACACAUAUUGGUAGUUUAGUUGGGGCGACUAUCUUUUAAUAUGAACAAAGAUAAGCAAAGUUAAUAAAUUAAUUUAUUGUAUAAUAGAUAAAUUUAACAAUUAUGAAAAUAGGCUAUAGUGACCCAUUAGAUCUUAAUAACAAGACUAAUGAUUAAUAAAUAAAAGCUACCUUAGGGAUAACAGGAUAAUUUUGUUUUAGAGAUCUAUCGAAAACAAG